AACAGGUUAUGGGCCCAGAUUUGCUAAAAAAAAUGGAAGGAAGGAAGGGGGGGAAAAAAAAGAGAAGACAAGAAGAAUCAUUCCACAGACUCAAGACUCAACUACAUAUGUUUCUAAAUGGAAAACCAGCAAACAUGGAGUUCCACAGCUCCAAAAUGCAAGACCUCAUCACUGUAAAUAUGGAAGCCAAGGAGUUCCUUAGAAUUCUGAAGCAGUGAGAUUUGCAGUGUCUAAAGUGGCAGCAAAGGACAAACGUUUCAACAGCGUGACAGAAGGAACUUUCAAGGUAGCUCCA
Long non-coding RNA from Cryptotermes secundus, 295 nucleotides. RefSeq lists it as uncharacterized. Lineage: Eukaryota; Metazoa; Arthropoda; Insecta; Blattodea; Kalotermitidae. The record is from RefSeq and is a predicted model, not a curated record. The transcript is spliced from 3 exons.